Molecule: RNA transcript, 3492 nt
Organism: Austrofundulus limnaeus
Lineage: Eukaryota; Metazoa; Chordata; Actinopteri; Cyprinodontiformes; Rivulidae
Gene: pianp
Gene name: PILR alpha associated neural protein
Exons: 6
Source: RefSeq, a predicted model, not a curated record
AUGAGGAGGAGGGUGAAGUGACUGAGUGUUAGUCUGGGAGGUGUGGAGGAGCGUAUGGACAGAGACUGUUGGUGCCGGUGUUUGUGAGAGGCAUUCGUCCCCUCGCUCUGCCGGAGUAACCUGAUUAAACGAGCGAGAAUUAAAUCUUCUUCCUUCUCCUUUUUUUUCUCCUCCACUCUGCUGUCUGGUUGUCUCUGGGGUGUCCUUGUUCGCCUUCAUAAACAUCACAGAGUCCUCUCUCUUAACCUCUCACCUCUAAAACCGUCUCAUUAAUGUCGUCCUUCGUAUCAUUUUCUAUUUGCUUCAUCAAAUUCAUUUCUCCUCCUGUGUCCGUUUAAUUGAACCCAUUUAAGAGAAAAAAAAACAUAAUUAGCAUUUAAAUCUCUUUCCUACAGUCUGUUGCCCCCCUCUACAUCGUUCUCUCUCCCCACUCGUACUCGCAGACUCUACAUGCCUCAGUCGCUACGGCAACCGAUGCUUUUUUUUCUCUCUCCUCUCUCACUUGCUUUCUGUAUCUCUGCUCGCUCCUCUCCCGUCUCCCUCGCUCAUUCCCUCUCUCCGCUGCCAGAGGUAAGCAUGAUAACUGAUAUGUGUCCGGCUCCCGGCGCGCACGCUGCUCUCCGAGCGACAUUUCUGUGGCGUUGAUGGUGGUGGUGGUGGGGGGGGUCUCUCUCCCUCGCUCAAAGUGCCUUGCUGAGUGCUGCUUUUCGUGCAUGAUGCUCGUAACGAUGAUUAAUGCGCUCCUCUCAGGUGUGUGCUCUGUAAACCUGGGAAGUGAGCGCAGACACUUUUUUGGGAGGUUUUUGCAGAUGUUCGUUCUGAAACAUGUGGCUCAUAACGGAGYGUUAAAUUCAGCUUCCCUGAGGAGCCUUUUUACGAUUCCUUUUUUAAUAUUUAAAAAAAAAAAGAGAGAGAGAAAGAAAGUUUGCUUUGAGCUGUUAAUCCUGCUGGUUUCUGUGUUUACAACUGUGGUAAAACAGAUGAAGAGGGGAAAAAAGGCAGAACCUCCCCUCUGUUUUUCCUUCUUUCUCUCUUAUGUUACAGAGAUGAUCGGAGAAGAGGAGUCUCAGUGAACAGAGUGAAGCGAUGGAGAGAUGCUCCAUCUCUCCUGUCGCACGACUCAUUGCCUUCGUCACCCUCCUCCUGGUCGCUCUGGUCUCGCAGCCCUCCGUCUGUAACCGCGACGAUGGCGAGGGCGGAGAGCAGGUGGACGCCCUGCCGGUCCAGCUGUCCGUCACCUCCCAGGUCACGCCCACCCCUCUGUGGGCGGUGGUGUGGGGUCCCACGCAGCCGCUGGAGGACGAGACCUACCACCGCUUCCUCUCCAGCCAGGAGACCGAACACCUGCACAGCCACGGGAACCAGCAGGAGGUCAGCGGCGCCGCUGCCACCUCCGAGGACUGGCUCUACCUGGACUCUAGCGCCUCGCCCCAGGAGAAGGCGCCGCUGGAGUCCAGAAACCAGGAGGGAGCGGAGGCCGGAGGGACGGAGGCGGAGGAGACGGAGCCGGAGGAAGUCGACCCUCAGUUCUACGUCACCGUGACCAUCUCCUCUCUGCUCAUCCUGACAGCCGUCGUCAUCACGGCCAAACUCUGUUACGAUCGCAGCUGUUCGCAGCAUCCGCCCCCGCUUUCCCGUGGCGUGGGCCCCCCCCUCUCCCUCGCUCUCCCCCGUUCCCUUGCUUCGGAGGACAGCAGGCAGACGCUGCACAGCACCUCCUCCUCCUUCACCGACAGGGAGAGGUAAUGAGUCGCCUCAACAGCUCUGCACUGUCUUGAGUGUUUGUGUGUCUGGCUCCAUGUGUGAGUCUCUGGAUCCAAGUUUGCCUCUGUGCGUGUCUGUCUGUGUGCGGGUACUCUUAUUACUCUGCAUGUGCUGCAAUGGAUGUGCAUGGAGUAUAAUUGGGCAGUAACGCUAUUCUCUGUAGAAUAUUCAGGCCUGGAGUGCUGGAGCAGCUCUAAGAUGUAUCAGUGUUUUAAAGCCCCCCCUCUCCAGAUGAGUCAUCGUGGGCCCAUGAAAAGACGCCUAUCCUCCAUCCAUGAAAUGAUGCUUUUAUUCAAGGGAUCCCAGUUGUGAACCUGUGAGGUUUGUUUUCCACGUGGUGAACGUUUCUACGAGGCCUGAGGAGAAACAACACGACCAGAGGGUGCGCCCGCAGAGCUCUUUUUAUUUUCUCUCCAACUGUGAAACAAAUUCAGGGAACCCAGGUAUCCAGCCAUCGCAAAAACUUCACAGCUUCCCUGAGGCCUAAGAAACGAAAAUCCCAGCUCAUCUCUCCGCUCCUCUGGAGUAAAUUUCUUUUUUUUUUUUCUAAUGUGCAUCACUGUGACCCUGUUCUCCACCCUCUCUACGGCCCCGAGCUCCGCCAGGCUACCCAGCAGCUUCAACCCACCAUGACUAACUCACGAGUAAGCAGUUCAGCAGCCAUGCAGGAUUCUGUUACCCCCGAGAUGCCCUACCUUGCCUCACCUGUGCUUCCACAACCAGUGACUCAGCAGCUCAUUCGUGAAUUUUUUUUUUUAAAAAUCCAGUGCUGCUCCUUUCAUCAAAUGGCACUAAAACUCAGCUCACUCCAGCGGGCUUGUAAUUGGUUAAAAAGCCAUUCUCGGCAUCUCCUAACAUCCAACAGAAUAUUUCACAAAAGCCGUUUGGCGUGGCUGUAGCCAACAGGCAAUGUGUUUAACACGUCACGCUCCAAAAACUGAUGUUUAUUCCCCCCCUGCUUUGGGCGCCCGGAAUGCAAAUAGUGUGGCUCCAUUCCUCUGCAGAUGCACAGGACUCGUUUUCUUUUGUUUUGUUUUCCUGUGUUUUUGUUCCCGAUUUGUUCUCUUAAUUAUCUGGCUGACGCUCACCUCCUUGUGGAACCUUUGCAAGCACGCUUCGUUCCUGCUGGACUCGAGCAGAGAGCACUUCCAGGGGCUGGAGAUAAAAUAUUCAGAACGUAAAUGGUUAGAACAAACUGAAAAUCUGUUUUGUUUUUUCUUUCCCAGUUGUUGGAUGGUACACAGCAAAAGACGUUUUCCCACGUUUUCAUGGGAAAUAAAUAUCUAUGAACGCUGAGAUUGUCUUUUAGUUGUUGUUGUAUACCAAUCUGGAAAACAGAACCAUCACAGCUCUUCAUCAGUUGUCCUGGGUGCACCAAAGGAAAGUUGCACAUAAAGAGUUGCCUCAUGCGUUUCUUGUCAGUUUGCAUGUAGAAAAACUCUGAGAGAGCUGCUUCAAAUCAAGUAUUUAUAAAACGGCUAUUUUACCUAUCUGAGUAUUGUAUUACAGAACUUUUCAAAGCUAAAUGUCAAUUUUUGGCAACUUUUCUAAGCAGCUUUGUGACAUGAACUACCCAUCCACUGAACCAUUCUGACAUAGUGCUGGUGGCAUCAUGGUAGCUUCGACCCUUCAGCUCUCCAGUCUUGUGAUUUUUAGUAGCAUUCCUGUAGAAAUGUGGUCUUUUCUGUACCAUGGAACUAAAAUAAAGGACUCGAUGCUGAUGCUUUU